This 497-nucleotide ribosomal RNA is filed under the name uncultured bacterium. RNAcentral describes it as "partial 16S ribosomal RNA". It matches the Rfam family "Bacterial small subunit ribosomal RNA", at positions 28 to 507 of the family's 1533-position model. The record is from RNAcentral.
GAUGAACGCUGGCGGCGUGCCUAAUACAUGCAAGUCGAGCGAACGGACGAGAAGCUUGCUUCUCUGAUGUUAGCGGCGGACGGGUGAGUAACACGUGGAUAACCUACCUAUAAGACUGGGAUAACUUCGGGAAACCGGAGCUAAUACCGGAUAAUAUUUUGAACCGCAUGGUUCAAAAGUGAAAGACGGUCUUGCUGUCACUUAUAGAUGGAUCCGCGCUGCAUUAGCUAGUUGGUAAGGUAACGGCUUACCAAGGCAACGAUGCAUAGCCGACCUGAGAGGGUGAUCGGCCACCCUGGAACUGAGCCACGGUCCAGACUCCUACGGGAGGCAGCAGUAGGGAAUCUUCCGCAAUGGUCGAAAACCUGACGGAGCAACGCCGCGUGAGUGAUGAAGGUCUUCGGAUCGUAAAACUCUGUUAUUAGGGAAGAACAUAUGUGUAAGUAACUGUGCACAUCUUGACGGUACCUAAUCAGAAAGCCACGGCUAACUACGUG